CUUCUGAUUUGAGAAAAUAAGGAAGAACUUCGUCGUAACUCCAACCAGUGUUACCUAUUUCUGCCCAAUUGUCGUAAUCCUUUCUAAAAUAUAAUUAAUCGAUAUUGAUCAUUGCAUUUAAUACGCUGGAACCACCGAGAACUUUUCCACGUGGCCAAUUACAUCUGCCUUCUUUCAUCGCGAGACAAUAAGCCGAUGAAUUUGACGGAAUAGUUUUAUAUUUCCAAUCUAAUUCUGUUAACGAAAUAUACCUCGGACAAUCUUGAGGCAACUACUGCUCCUGCACUUCCACCACCAACAACGAUGAAAUCGUAUGUUCGAUUUAGCUUGAAAAUUCAUUAUCAAAAAUAACGUUACUAUUUUCUUUUAUUUUUUUAGUAAAAUAAGAAAAAAAGAUUAUUAAAUUUUUAAUAUUAAUAAUUAUUUAAUUAAAUACCUUAGGAGUAUUUAUCGAACAACAUUUAUAAUCCAUUUUGUUGUACAUUUUGAAUAAUUUGUUAAUGUCUACAAAUGGAAUAUAGCCGAUCGCUACGGCGAACAUUAUAAUUAAAGGAACCGAAUGCAUUGUAAUUUGUAUUUUUUUUACAAAUUAUUAUUAUAUAUCUUUUAUAUAUACACCGUUAUAUAUAUACGCAUUAAUGGAUCCUUCAUCUAUUUGUCUAAUCCUAGCGUAUUUUGUAUUUUUCAAAUUACGGAAUAUUAAAAAAUAUUGAACGAAGAAAAAA
Molecule: long non-coding RNA, 725 nt
Filed under: Polistes fuscatus (common paper wasp)
Lineage: Eukaryota; Metazoa; Arthropoda; Insecta; Hymenoptera; Vespidae
Description: uncharacterized LOC122519321
Source: RNAcentral